GACUAGUCUGAGUACAGUGAGAUUUACCACUAUUUGGUUAUAACCAGUUACAUAUUUUUGGGUCCUUCUCCAUUCCCACUGUUGCUUCACUUGACUAGCCUUCU
Molecule: Y RNA, 104 nt
Filed under: Carlito syrichta (Philippine tarsier)
Lineage: Eukaryota; Metazoa; Chordata; Mammalia; Primates; Tarsiidae
Description: Y RNA (ENSTSYG00000020564.2)
Rfam family: Y RNA
About the family: Y RNAs are components of the Ro ribonucleoprotein particle (Ro RNP), in association with Ro60 and La proteins. The Y RNAs and Ro60 and La proteins are well conserved, but the function of the Ro RNP is not known.
Source: Rfam by way of RNAcentral